ACCCGUCUAGCUCAGUCUGGCUAGAGCGCUGGCCUUUUAAGCCAGUGGUCGUGGGUUCGAGCCCCACGGGGGGUG
Molecule: transfer RNA, 75 nt
Filed under: Phytophthora infestans T30-4
Lineage: Eukaryota; Oomycota; Peronosporomycetes; Peronosporales; Peronosporaceae
Rfam family: tRNA
About the family: Transfer RNA (tRNA) molecules are approximately 80 nucleotides in length. Their secondary structure includes four short double-helical elements and three loops (D, anti-codon, and T loops).
Source: Rfam by way of RNAcentral